This 468-nucleotide ribosomal RNA is filed under the name uncultured bacterium. Its description in RNAcentral is "partial 16S ribosomal RNA". It matches the Rfam family "Bacterial small subunit ribosomal RNA", at positions 28 to 507 of the family's 1533-position model. The record is from RNAcentral.
GACGAACGCUGGCGGCGUGCUUAACACAUGCAAGUCGAACGGAAAGGCCCUGCUUUUGUGGGGUGCUCGAGUGGCGAACGGGUGCGUAACACGUGAGUAACCUGCCCUUGACUUUGGGAUAACUUCAGGAAACUGGGGCUAAUACCGGAUAGGAGCUCCUGCUGCAUGGUGGGGGUUGGAAAGUUUCGGCGGUUGGGGAUGGACUCGCGGCUUAUCAGCUUGUUGGUGGGGUAGUGGCUUACCAAGGCUUUGACGGGUAGCCGGCCUGAGAGGGUGACCGGCCACAUUGGGACUGAGAUACGGCCCAGACUCCUACGGGAGGCAGCAGUGGGGAAUAUUGCACAAUGGGCGGAAGCCUGAUGCAGCAACGCCGCGUGCGGGAUGACGGCCUUCAGGUUGUAAACCGCUUUCGCCUGUGACGAAGCGUGAGUGACGGUAAUGGGUAAAGAAGCACCGGCUAACUACGUG